Molecule: ribosomal RNA, 514 nt
Filed under: uncultured bacterium
Lineage: Bacteria
Description: partial 16S ribosomal RNA
Rfam family: Bacterial small subunit ribosomal RNA
Source: RNAcentral
AGCGAACGCUGGCGGCGUGCCUAACACGUGCAAGUCGAACGUGAACGGAGCAAUCCUAGUAAAGUGGCGUACGGGUGAGUAACACGUAGGUAAUCUACCUUACAGUCUGGAAUAACCUGACGAAAGUCGGGCUAAUACUGGAUAGAGCGACGGAAGCCGUAACGGUUUUUUCGGGAAAGGGAGCUCGAUAAGAGCCUUCGCUGUAAGAUGAGCCUGCGUCUGAUUAGUUAGUUGGUGGGGUAAUGGCCUACCAAGACGAUGAUCAGUAGCUGGUCUGAGAGGAUGAUCAGCCACACUGGAACUGAAACACGGUCCAGACUCCUACGGGAGGCAGCAGUGGGGAAUCUUGCGCAAUGGACGAAAGUCUGACGCAGCCACGCCGCGUGAGUGAAGAAGGCCUUCGGGUUGUAAAGCUCUGUCACCUGGGACGAAAACACUUACGGUUAAUAGCCGUAGGAAUUGACGGUACCAGGGGAGGAAGCACCGGCUAACUUCGUGCCAGCAGCCGCGGUAA